This is a non-coding RNA of Callorhinus ursinus (northern fur seal), 159 nucleotides long. NCBI's taxonomy places the organism in Eukaryota, Metazoa, Chordata, Mammalia, Carnivora, Otariidae. The record is from RefSeq and is a predicted model, not a curated record.
UCCCUGGAGGGUCUGGGGACACUGGAAUGAGCCUGUAUGUACCUUUAUCCAUCCUAGCCCCCUCACCCCAGAUGGUUCCUGCCGUCCUGGGGCUGUGGUAUGUGGCUCUCCAUGCUCCAGGCCUGGAGCAAAGAGGCCUGGCCGCCCACCUGCCUGUGC